CGAGAGGGAGUGAACUGCAUAAAUACACCCUGGGAGGAAGAGAAGUAUCUGUUUCCCGCAAGGAAUUUUGGCACCUAAGAAGCCCUUUUUUACACAAGACAGCUGUAUAAAGAAAGCAAAUACUGCGUCUUUCACUAUACUGGGACUGAGAGACCUCCUGACCAAAAACCUUGCUCAUGGUCAUCGGACAUUUUAUUUUCUGAGGUACACUGUGAUUACGACGACUGUCCUGAGGGCUGGGACUCCGUCCACAAGCUGCUUUCCUGAACAAAUGUAUUUGGGUAUAGUCAAUCAAAGGGAAGAAGGAUGUCAAAGGACUGGCCUUACUUGCUAUAGGAGUCUGCAGAGCUACUGCAGAAUGAACUUAUUUCAUCACAACUAUAUCAGUUAUCUGUCAUCAGCAGAAAAAGGAAAGCAUGGAAGAAAUGUUUUUGUAAAGGGCUGA
RNAcentral lists this long non-coding RNA (445 nucleotides) under Apteryx owenii (little spotted kiwi). Its description in RNAcentral is "lncRNA (ENSAOWG00000001299.1)". Lineage: Eukaryota; Metazoa; Chordata; Aves; Apterygiformes; Apterygidae. The record is from RNAcentral.